RNAcentral lists this ribosomal RNA (205 nucleotides) under Stomolophus meleagris (cannonball jelly). RNAcentral describes it as "partial 12S ribosomal RNA". It matches the Rfam family "Bacterial small subunit ribosomal RNA", at positions 707 to 951 of the family's 1533-position model. Lineage: Eukaryota; Metazoa; Cnidaria; Scyphozoa; Rhizostomeae; Stomolophidae. The record is from RNAcentral.
UCGAAAACACGAAGGUAUUUUUCCCCUUCCUGUCCCAACCCCCCGAGAGCUGGGAGACAAACUGGGAUUAGAUACCCCCCUAUGCCCUGCCGGAAACUUAAAUAUCUCAAUACAAUAGAUAUCCGCCAGGGGACUACGAGCGCUAUCUUAAAACCCAAAGGACUUGGCGGUGCUUCAGACCCCCCUAGAGGAGCCUGUUCUAAUA